UUACUAAGUGAUCACUUUCAAAUUCAGAGAAACCCUGGAAUUAACAAAAAUGGGCAAUCCUGAGCCAAAUCCUGUUUUCCGAAAACCAACAAAGAUUCAGAAAAAAAGGAUAGGUGCAGAGACUCAAUGGAAGCUAUUCUAACAAAUGGAGUUAAAUGCGUUGGUAGAGGAAUCUUUACAUCGAAACUUCAGAAAGAAAAAGAAUGAAGUGAAGGAUAAACGUAUAUACAUACGUAUUGAAUACUAUAUCAAAUGAUUAAUGAUGACCUGAAUCCGUAUUUUUUCUAUAAAAAAUAGAAGAAUUGGUGUGAAUCGAUUCUACAUUGAAGAAAGAAUCGAAUAUUCAUUGAUCAAAUCAUUCACUCCAUAGUCUGAUAGAUCUUUUGAAGAACUGAUUAAUCGGACGAGAAUAAAGAUAGAGUCCCGUUCUACAUGUCAAUACCGGCAACAAUGAAAUUUAUAGUAAGAGGAAAAUCCGUCGACUUUCAAAAUCGUGAGGGUUCAAGUCCCUCUAUCCCCAAAAAGACUAUUUCACUCCCCAACUAUUUAUCCGACCCCCU
RNAcentral lists this precursor RNA (560 nucleotides) under Nicotiana acuminata (acuminate tobacco). RNAcentral's name for it is "partial transfer RNA-Leu(UAA)". The stretch from base 1 to 445 matches the Rfam family "Group I catalytic intron", at positions 38 to 253 of the family's 253-position model. From Rfam's summary of the family: Group I catalytic introns are large self-splicing ribozymes. They catalyse their own excision from mRNA, tRNA and rRNA precursors in a wide range of organisms. Lineage: Eukaryota; Viridiplantae; Streptophyta; Magnoliopsida; Solanales; Solanaceae. The record is from RNAcentral.